This is a long non-coding RNA of Gambusia affinis (western mosquitofish), 317 nucleotides long. RefSeq lists it as uncharacterized. The record is from RefSeq and is a predicted model, not a curated record. The transcript has 3 exons. Lineage: Eukaryota; Metazoa; Chordata; Actinopteri; Cyprinodontiformes; Poeciliidae.
GAAGAAAAGUGCGAAAAUAAUCUUCAUCCACACUGCGAUGUAGAGCAUAAACCCUCCAAAAAAACAACAAAUGGGGCUUAAACUUGACAUGAUGCUCCUGAUUCACCAGCAGCACGUGUAUAGAGUUGUAAACUUGUCUCACACGUCAAGUAAGAUGACUGACACGGCACCUGACCAAUGGGAGGAAGAAGAGCGAAUCAAACAACCAAUAAGCUUCCAGUGCUGUUGAUUUCAAGGAUAUUUUGAGACUUCUUUAAGUCCACAAACAGAAUCAUAAGCAGCUGUGAACUCUGCCAGGCCUCCGAUGUGGGCAGAGA